Molecule: long non-coding RNA, 922 nt
Organism: Oncorhynchus keta (chum salmon)
Lineage: Eukaryota; Metazoa; Chordata; Actinopteri; Salmoniformes; Salmonidae
Exons: 3
Source: RefSeq, a predicted model, not a curated record
CUGUAGGUGGAGGUAAAGAGGUAUGUGACUGUAGGUGGAGGUAAAGAGGUAUGGGACUGUAGGUGGAGGUAUAGAGGUAUGUGACUGUAGGUGGAGGUAUAGAGGUAUGGGACUGUAGGUGGAGGUAUAGAGGUAUGUGACUGUAGGUGGAGGUAUAGAGGUAUGUGACUGUAGGUGGAGGUAAAGAGGUAUGUGACUGUAGGUGGAGGUAAAGAGGUAUGUGACUGUAGGUGGAGGUAAAGAGGUAUGUGACUGUAGGUGGAGGUAUAGAGGUAUGGGACUGUAGGUGGAGGUAAAGAGGUAUGUGACUGUAGGUGGAGGUAUAGAGGUAUGUGACUGUAGGUGGAGGUAUAGAGGUAUGGGACUGUAGGUGGAGGUAUAGAGGUAUGGGACUGUAGGUGGAGGUAUAGAGGUAUGGGACUGUAGGUGGAGGUAUAGAGGUAUGGGACUGUAGGUGGAGGUAUAGAGGUAUGGGACUGUAGGUGGAGGUAAAGAGGUAUGGGACUGUAGGUGGAGGUAUAGAGGUAUGGGACUGUAGGUGGAGGUAUAGAGGUAUGGGACUGUAGGUGGAGGUAUAGAGGUAUGUGACUGUAGGUGGAGGUAUAGAGGUAUGUGACUGUAGGUGGAGGUAAAGAGGUAUGGGACUGUAGGUGGAGGUAUAGAGGUAUGUGACUGUAGGUGGAGGUAUAGAGGUAUGGGACUGUAGGUGGAGGUAUAGAGGUAUGGGACUGUAGGUGGAGGUAUAGAGGUAUGGGACUGUAGGUGGAGGUAUGUGACUGUAGGUGGAGGUAUAGAGGUAUGUGACUGUAGGUGGAGGUAUAGAGGUAUGGGACUGUAGGUGGAGGUAUAGAGGUAUGUGACUGUAGGUGGAGGUAUAGAGGUAUGUGACUGUAGGUGGAGGUAUAGAGGUAUGGGACUGUAG